AUGACGUCGCCUCUGACGGAGUUCAAGGACCACCUCCUGGCCGAGAUCUUCCUCCGCCUGCCCGACCCGGAAGACCUCGUCCGCGCCUCGGCAGCCUGCGUCUCCUUCUACCGACUCACCACCCACGACUCCUUCCUCCGCAGAUUCCGCCGCCUCCACGCACCAUCAGUACUCGGAUUCCUCCAGGCAGGCGGCAUGUUCCGUCCCACCAUGCCGCCUCACCCCUCCGCGCCCGCCGCCCGCGCGCUCGCCCGCGCCGCCGACUUCUACUUCUCCUUCAUCCCCUCCCGUUGCCACUGGACCGUGCAGGACAUCCGCGACGGCCGUGUCCUCCUC
This 336-nucleotide ribosomal RNA is filed under the name Triticum aestivum (bread wheat). RNAcentral describes it as "partial small subunit ribosomal RNA". Lineage: Eukaryota; Viridiplantae; Streptophyta; Magnoliopsida; Poales; Poaceae. The record is from RNAcentral.